Molecule: long non-coding RNA, 668 nt
Filed under: Polistes canadensis
Lineage: Eukaryota; Metazoa; Arthropoda; Insecta; Hymenoptera; Vespidae
Description: uncharacterized LOC106783816, transcript variant X1
Source: RNAcentral
AACCUAAACAUAAAAUAGUUCCAAUUCAUUCAGUAAUUUUAUAUCAAUUUUGGGUUAAUCGAUUCUGUCAUAAACUUAUUAAAAGUGGCUUUAUUUUAUUGUUAAUUAAUUUAUUUAUAUCGAUAAUCUAAUUUGAACGGAAAGAACGAUACCUAUCGAUAUGAACAAAAAUGUAAAUUAUCAAAGAAAAUAUUUUUCAAGGUGUUGAGAAUGGUGUACUCGCAUAGAGUUAGACUAUUAACUAAGAAAAAAAAAAUGUAAGAGAUGCGAAUUGAGGUGAAGGGUUCCGCAAAGUUGUAACGGUACAUUACACUCAUCGGAAUUUACAGUAAAGUAAAUUCGGUCAGCGUCCUUCCAUCUCGUUCAUUGGUAUAAUUUGGUAUCGUCCUCUUUCGAGGAACAUAAACAGGGUCAAAGGCUUACUCGAUACAUCGAAAGGAGUACAUGGAAGUCUUCUUUACCGAGCGAGUUCGACACGCAGUAAAACUUUCGCUAACCUUAAAAAAUAAUUAAAAUGUUGCUUAAGUAAUAUGUGGUAUGAGUCAACCUCAUUGCCUUUGACCCUGUCCUUCAUUUAACUUGUUACUUCUUCCUCAAAAAGAACAAGAUACGAAAGUGGUUUUUUAACACCAUCGAUACUACGUCGAAGAAAUUAUUGGACAUCACCG